Molecule: long non-coding RNA, 784 nt
Organism: Amphimedon queenslandica
Lineage: Eukaryota; Metazoa; Porifera; Demospongiae; Haplosclerida; Niphatidae
Exons: 4
Source: RefSeq, a predicted model, not a curated record
CUCUGGUUAUUACAUCGGAAGAGAAGGAAGCCAUUGCUCAGAAUUACGUGAUACCACAAGCCCAUUCUUCCUCUGGUUGAGAAGAUUGGCAGGUCCUCAUAGAAACUUAUGCCAUCUAGUCUCUCAUCAAGUGGUACUACACAGAAAGAGAGUGGAUCAGGAACCUAUAGAAACACAUUGAGAAGAUAUUAUAUACGUAAAACAGCUUUAAAGUCAUAUCACUAACACAGACAAAAUGAUGAUGAAGAUGAUGAAAAAAGAAGAAAAUAAACCUGCUACUGCUGUCUCUCCUGUCACUGUCUCUUCUACUAAUUUAAAAGAUUUUGUCAGUCAGUCUUUGUUUCUGAUCACCUCUAAAAGUAUGAUCAUGGGUUUAGCUUGGACGUCACUGAGUGUUACUACUCUAUGUGGAGACAGGCAUGGUUGAAGGGCAGGGGUUGUCUAAGUAGGGAAAAGGAAGUAUGACUACUACUGGACAGAUGGGAGAUGUAAUGAAGGAGUCGACUUAUGCAUUUGCUAAGUCAUUCAUGUCUUCAAAAUUUCCUUCAAAUGGUUUUCUUUAGAAAGCAAAAAUGCAUCUUCACUUUCCCGAGGGUGCUAUUCCAAAGAACAGUCCUUUAGCAAGUAUUACUAUAGUCUUUGCCCUCCUCUCACUAGCUAGUCUAUGGAUCAUCCAAUACAUCAGAGUAUUGCCAUGACUGGUAAACUGUCACUCACAGGAAAGGUAAUUCCUUGUACCUUACUCUCAUUGACUCCUAUUGCAUGGUGUUUUGUUGGGUUUGAU